RNAcentral lists this long non-coding RNA (238 nucleotides) under Vigna radiata. RNAcentral's name for it is "long non-coding RNA (VRAD_LNC010296)". The record is from RNAcentral. Lineage: Eukaryota; Viridiplantae; Streptophyta; Magnoliopsida; Fabales; Fabaceae.
GACGACGUCAAAAGAGAAUGACCGAUUGGAGAAGACUAGGAUUGAGAAGAAUGCGGACACAAGAGAGAUUGAGUGACAACAGAAGAAAAUUGUAUAGGGAUUAAUGUUUGCUUGAGUCUUUUUUUUUUUUUUAAAUUUAUUUUCGUUUUAACAAAAUAAGUUUAGAUAAGAAAUUCUUUUUUUUUCUUACCAAAUCUGCUCCUAAGACUUAACUUUUGUUAAUUCUACUUUUUCAAAU